RNAcentral lists this ribosomal RNA (433 nucleotides) under uncultured bacterium. RNAcentral's name for it is "partial 16S ribosomal RNA". It matches the Rfam family "Bacterial small subunit ribosomal RNA", at positions 29 to 507 of the family's 1533-position model. The record is from RNAcentral.
AACGAACGCUGGCGGCAUGCCUGACACAUGCAAGUCGAACGAGACCUUCGGGUCUAGUGGCGCUCGGGUGCGUAACGCGUGGGAACCUGCCCUUAGGUUCGGAAUAACUCCCCGAAAGGGGUGCUAAUACCGGAUAAUGUCUUCGGACCAAAGAUUUAUCGCCUUUGGAUGGGCCCGCGUUGGAUUAGCUAGUUGGUAGGGUAAAAGCCUACCAAGGCGACGAUCCAUAGCUGGUCUGAGAGGAUGAUCAGCCACACUGGGACUGAGACACGGCCCAGACUCCUACGGGAGGCAGCAGUGGGGAAUAUUGGACAAUGGGCGAAAGCCUGAUCCAGCAAUGCCGCGUGAGUGAUGAAGGCCUUAGGGUUGUAAAGCUCUUUUACCCGGGAUGAUAAUGACAGUACCGGGAGAAUAAGCUCCGGCUAACUCCGUG